This 383-nucleotide unclassified non-coding RNA is filed under the name Athalia rosae (coleseed sawfly). RNAcentral's name for it is "misc RNA ENSAEAG00005008464.1". Lineage: Eukaryota; Metazoa; Arthropoda; Insecta; Hymenoptera; Athaliidae. The record is from RNAcentral.
CUCGCGUUUCUCCUGAGACAAGCCCUUUCGAAAAUACCGCAGAUCCCUCACGCACUUUUGGUGGAUAAAUGGCGAUGGAAUGUUUUCAAUGGAAAUAUAAAACCAUCAGAUUAUAACGAGGCGUGGUGGGCAAUCGCUAAACGUUAUCAGGGAAUAAAACCUCCGACGCCUCGCCCCGACAAUUAUUUCGAUCCAGCAGCGAAGUAUCACGUUACAGACAAUACCCCAUACAUUAGGUAUUUUCUCGGCUACAUAUUGCAAGUGCAGCUUUUCAAAGGAAUGUGUGAGGCAGCUGUGACCGGAAAAGUUGGUGACCCAAACUUCGAAAUUCCGCUUCACAGAUGCGAUAUAUACGGCUCGAAAACUGCUGGAAAAAAAUUAAA